Molecule: small nuclear RNA, 107 nt
Organism: Cervus hanglu yarkandensis (Yarkand deer)
Lineage: Eukaryota; Metazoa; Chordata; Mammalia; Artiodactyla; Cervidae
Source: Ensembl
GUGCUCGCUUCAGCAGCAUAUAUACUCAAUUUGGAGUGAUACAGAGAAGAUUAGCAUGGACUCGGCUCAAGGAUAACACACAAAGUCAUGAGGUGUUCCACAUAUUU